This 776-nucleotide ribosomal RNA is filed under the name uncultured bacterium. RNAcentral describes it as "bacterial SSU rRNA". It matches the Rfam family "Bacterial small subunit ribosomal RNA", at positions 8 to 796 of the family's 1533-position model. The record is from RNAcentral.
AGAGUUUGAUCCUGGCUCAGGACGAACGCUGGCGGCGUGCUUAACACAUGCAAGUCGAGCGAGGCCCACUCUUCGGGGUGGUGCCCUAGCGGCGAACGGGUGAGUAACACGUGGGCAACCUGCCCUCAGCUCUGGGAUAACUCCAAGAAAUUGGUGCUAAUACCGGAUGUGACCGCUGACCGCAUGGUCUGGUGGUGGAAAGAUUCAUCGGCUGAGGAUGGGCCCGCGGCCUAUCAGCUUGUUGGUGGGGUGAUGGCCUACCAAGGCGACGACGGGUAGCCGGCCUGAGAGGGUGACCGGCCACACUGGGACUGAGACACGGCCCAGACUCCUACGGGAGGCAGCAGUGGGGAAUAUUGCGCAAUGGGCGAAAGCCUGACGCAGCGACGCCGCGUGAGGGAUGACGGCCUUCGGGUUGUAAACCUCUUUCAGCAGGGACGAAGCGAAAGUGACGGUACCUGCAGAAGAAGCACCGGCCAACUACGUGCCAGCAGCCGCGGUAAUACGUAGGGUGCAAGCGUUGUCCGGAAUUAUUGGGCGUAAAGAGCUCGUAGGCGGUCUGUCACGUCGGCUGUGAAAACCCGAGGCUCAACCUCGGGCCUGCAGUCGAUACGGGCAAACUAGAGUGUUGCAGGGGAGACUGGAAUUCCUGGUGUAGCGGUGAAAUGCGCAGAUAUCAGGAGGAACACCGGUGGCGAAGGCGGGUCUCUGGGCAACAACUGACGCUGAGGAGCGAAAGCGUGGGGAGCGAACAGGAUUAGAUACCCUAGUAGUCC